GUGAAAUCCUGUAAUCCCUGGGGGACCGCCGGUGGCGAAGGCGCCUGGCUAGAACGGGUCCGACGGUGAGGGACGAAGCCCUGGGGAGCAAACCGGAUUAGAUACCCGGGUAGUCCAGGGUGUAAACGAUGCGGGCUUGGUGUCGGGGAUCCUGCGAGGGUACCCGGUGCCGGAGCGAAGGCGUUAAGCCCGCCGCCUGGGGAGUACGGCCGCAAGGCUGAAACUUAAAGGAAUUGGCGGGGGAGCACCGCAACGGGAGGAGCGUGCGGUUUAAUUGGAUUCAACGCCGGAAAACUCACCGGAGAAGAGUGGCAGAUGUGGGUCAGGCUGAUGGCCUUGCCCGAACGUCACAGAGGUGGUGCAUGGCCGUCGUCAGCUCGUACCGUAAGGCGUUCUGUUAAGUCAGAUAACGAGCGAGACCCUUAUCCGCAAUUGCUAUCCGGUCCUCCGGGAUCGGAGCACAUUGCGGAGACCGCUGGUGCUAAACCAGAGGAAGGAUAGGGCAACGGUAGGUCAAUAUGCCCCGAAUUCUCCGGGCUACACGCGCGCUACAAAGGGCCGGACAGUGGGUAUCGACACCGAGAGGUGGAGGCAAUCCCGAAACCGGUCCAUAGUUUGGAUCGAGGGGCAACUCGCCCUCGUGAAACUGG
RNAcentral lists this ribosomal RNA (650 nucleotides) under uncultured euryarchaeote. RNAcentral's name for it is "bacterial SSU rRNA". It matches the Rfam family "Archaeal small subunit ribosomal RNA", at positions 632 to 1285 of the family's 1478-position model. Lineage: Archaea; Methanobacteriati; Methanobacteriota. The record is from RNAcentral.